CUCGGAUGUGUGUUUGGCUGUUGCCGCUGAUUACUAAGCUGUGUGUGCGUGUGUUUUUGGCUGCUGAUUACUAACCGUGUGUCUGUGCUUUGGGUGUAGUUCGCUCUUGCUGAAAUUGCUGUAGCUGGCUGCUAAGAUGAGUUGGUCCUGGAUCUGGAUCCACCGCUUCCUUCCUCUGAAUUUUUGUUGUAGCAAAUGGAGGAGCAGCUCAAGACAUUGAUAGUCCUUUCUCACUACCUAGAGACUGGUAGGUUCCGCCAGUUUUGGGAUGAGGCAUCAAAGAGCCGUAACAUAUUGGAAGUUGUUCCAGGUUCAAAGAACUUGAAGAAAUCAAUAUGACAAUAGGACAAGCUUCACCAGUAGAGCAACAAGGAGGCGUCAGCAAAGUAAGUUGUUAUGUAAAUACUCUUUUUGAAUGAGAUAAGAAGCACUACCGAGGUAGAUUACAACAUG
Lolium perenne is the source of this 453-nucleotide non-coding RNA. The record is from RefSeq and is a predicted model, not a curated record. NCBI's taxonomy places the organism in Eukaryota, Viridiplantae, Streptophyta, Magnoliopsida, Poales, Poaceae.